GACAGAGGAGGCGAGCGUUAUCCGGAGUCAUUGGGCGUAAAGGGUACGUAGGCGGCUAGUCAAGUCUGAGGUUAAAGACCACAGCUUAACUGUGGAAAGGCCUUGGAAACUGACUGGCUAGAGUGGGGCAGGGGUUGCGGGAAUUCCCGGUGUAGCGGUGAAAUGCGUAGAGAUCGGGAAGAACACCUGAGGCGAAAGCGCGCAACUGGGCCCUGACUGACGAUGAGGUACGAAAGCUAGGGGAGCGAAUGGG
RNAcentral lists this ribosomal RNA (253 nucleotides) under uncultured bacterium. RNAcentral's name for it is "partial 16S ribosomal RNA". It matches the Rfam family "Bacterial small subunit ribosomal RNA", at positions 524 to 776 of the family's 1533-position model. The record is from RNAcentral.